This 312-nucleotide ribosomal RNA is filed under the name Triticum aestivum (bread wheat). RNAcentral describes it as "partial small subunit ribosomal RNA". Lineage: Eukaryota; Viridiplantae; Streptophyta; Magnoliopsida; Poales; Poaceae. The record is from RNAcentral.
AUGACCUUCUGGUUUGUGGACAAGCAACUCAUCAGAAAGCAUCUGACAUGGCACACAUUCUCCAACACAUUUGUGCUAAGUCAGGUCAAACCCAAAAAUGGAACGAAUCUGCUAUCCUUUUCAGCACCAAUGUCCAUUUUCCCGGUUCCAACUAUGAACAGUGAUUUCACUCAUCUAGGUCACCCACUCAUUCUUUUGGCAAAAAAUAGAACCACUCCUUACAAUUUUGUGCUUGAUAAAUUUAUGGCUAAGUUGCCCUCUUACAAAGCCAACAUGCUCUCGCAUGCUGCUAGGCUGGAACUAGUUAGAUAG